Molecule: transfer RNA, 65 nt
Filed under: Calliopsida cinnabarina
Lineage: Eukaryota; Metazoa; Arthropoda; Insecta; Hemiptera; Cicadidae
Description: tRNA-Asn
Source: RNAcentral
UUAGUUGAAGCCAAAGGGGAGGCGUUUUAAUGUUAAUAAAAAGAAUGAAUUUAUUUCCAACUAAA